Molecule: long non-coding RNA, 141 nt
Organism: Neopsephotus bourkii (Bourke's parrot)
Lineage: Eukaryota; Metazoa; Chordata; Aves; Psittaciformes; Psittacidae
Exons: 2
Source: RefSeq, a predicted model, not a curated record
AAUGCUUGAGAGGGACUCUUCAUUAGGGACUGUAGUGACAGGACAAGGGGUAACAGGUUUAAACUUAAACAGGGGAAUUCAGGUUAGAUAUAAGGAAGUUCUUUCCUGUAAGGGUGGUGAGGCACUGGAAUGGGUUGCCCA